ACAGCAGUCGCCGCGGUAAUACAGAGGGUGCAAGCGUUAAUCGGAAUUACUGGGCGUAAAGCGCGCGUAGGUGGUUUGUUAAGUUGGAUGUGAAAGCCCCGGGCUCAACCUGGGAACUGCAUCCAAAACUGGCAAGCUAGAGUACGGUAGAGGGUGGUGGAAUUUCCUGUGUAGCGGUGAAAUGCGUAGAUAUAGGAAGGAACACCAGUGGCGAAGGCGACCACCUGGACUGAUACUGACACUGAGGUGCGAAAGCGUGGGGAGCAAACAGGAUUAGAUACCCCGGUAGUCCUGUCUCUUAUACA
Molecule: ribosomal RNA, 305 nt
Filed under: uncultured bacterium
Lineage: Bacteria
Description: partial 16S ribosomal RNA
Rfam family: Bacterial small subunit ribosomal RNA
Source: RNAcentral